UUAUCAGUUGUCACAGUCUUCCCUUGAGGUAUCAGGAUGAUAGCAGUGGCCCAAAUGUCAUUGCCCUUAUAGCUUCUCAUGACUUGAUCCACUGUCAGCUCUUGCAGCACAGUUUGGUCAGUAACUAGCACCCCCUGUAGUUUAGUGUUCUUUUCCUUAUAUUGGAACUCUAUCCAUUUUUCCUUCCAAUGACAGGUCAUGGCCCCCCAUUGCUCAACGAAUCCAUCCCCAGAAUCAAGUCAUGCCCACCCAAAUCAACCAGUUUGGUUGAAUAAGAGAAAGUAUGGCCUUGGAGCCACCAAGUCAAGGCAGGUACUUCCGAGGUACAAGGCAGUGUUUCUCCAUUGGCCACCUUCACAGUUAAAGGUUGUGGUAGUUUCCUUGUUUCAGCACCAAUUCGGGGUAGCAGUGACGUGUCAAUGGAACUGUGAGUGCUCCUUGAGUCCAGCAAGAUUAGCACCACCUGAUUGCCCACCAGUGCUCUGAAUCUGAUUGUUUUUGGGUGUUCUGCCCCAGAGAGCAGCAGCUCUUCUUCCACUGCUUCUUGUACUGCUAUGGCAUCCAGUACUGCAUCUGGAAUUCUGUCUAGGUCUUCCUGGCCAGAAGUCAUAGCAUGGGCCUGAGCAGCAACUGGAGUUUGGGUAGCACACACAUGUCGUGGAGCAAAUUUUCUCCACAGCUGAAACAAAGCCCAUGUGUGCGUCUAUAAUCUUUCAGCUGUCUUGCUUUCCAAAGAUCACCUGCCACCGUCGGCUGCUGUUUGCCAUCCCCUUUUGUGAAGCUGUUCCUGGACUGAAACUUGCCAGAUUUCUGUCUUGUUAAAGUAGCUUCCUGAACUGUUGCAAAUGCUGCUGCUGCUGCUAUAGUUACAGGAAAUUGAAUUUCCACGGCACCCUUCAAUUCCUCCUUGAGACCCAAAAUGAACCGUGCCACCAGAAACGUGUCACUGCAGGUUCAUACAGUUUGAUCUGAUACACCAAUUGAAGGAAGUCUCUCUUGUAUUCCUCUAUAGAACCCUUUUGCUUCAACAACAAUAAGGCAUGCAUGGUCUCUCUGUGUACAUUGACAUCAAACUCGGCCAUGACUGCAUCCUUGAAUUGAUCCCAGUCCACCCAUCCAGCUAAUAACUUGAAAGCGUGGUACCAAUGCGCCGCAACGCCCUCGAGAUGUAAAGUGGCUGAUGUAACCUUGAAAUUCUUCGGAAUAUCAUACAAGGAAAAAAAUGCCUCACACCCGUCGAGCCAUAUGCGUACAUCAGACCCAUCAAACUUGGGGAAAUUCAUCUUUGGUAGCCACGGUCGACGCGCUGACGACGACACGUCGCGGCCGUGAGCGGUGUCAGGUUGAUGUUGCGAGAAGCUGGGCUUGGGAAUCUGUAAGGGUGGUGGAGGGGGAUGUGGUGGUGGCGAAGGAAUGAUCCCCUCCUGCUGCCUUGCUGAUGGCGAGCUUGGAAUCGUAGUGGCCUUUGCCCUUCCGCCGCUGCCACUUGCUCCUGCCUGACAUCAGCAAUCAAAUUCAUCGUCAGGUUUACCGUCGCCUGCACCGUGUCGAUCCGCCCUAUUUGCUUCUCCAUCUGCUUGUCCAGAGCAUCCAACCGCGAGGAAAUUGCAUCGAUCCCCUCCACCUUGUCCUUGACGAACUUGAGGGCUUGUAGUUCCUUCAUGAUGCGCUCCUCAAACGCCUCCAUCGCGGAGUGCACCUGCCUCGCCUGCGCGCUAGGCUUGGAUGACGUUGUCAUUGCUCUAAAGGAAUUACGCAGAUCAAGAGCUUCCACUACCUCCAAGCUGUCUGAGCUCACCAAGAUCUUGCUGCAUCCGACAGUUCUUGCAAGGUUCAGCCCAAACCUUGACAGCCAGGGCUUCUGCUGUGAAAGAGUCAAAGCAAAUGUCUACUUUUUCAUUCGCUGUCGCUAUGAACUGUCCACUCUGGUCACGAAUGACUGCCCCCACAGAUCCUUCAAGUAGAUCUUGGUCAAACCCCGCAUCGACAUUCAAUUUCAUGUAUCCCAUUGGCGUUUUUUCCCAAACUCCAGACCGAGCUUUGGCCUUUGGUGGACAUGCAAUACUGAAAUUUGCCUUUUGCAUUCUAGUCUCUUGGCAUCCUCCUAUAGCCUUUUGGCAUCCUCAUCUGUGUGUAUAUAUGUUGGCAUUGGCCUCCUAAUAAUAUAUGUUGCAUAUUCCUAACAUGGUAGCAGAGCCUUCGGAUUUUAUUCGCACGCCACAACUCGUGCUCGAUCCUCUCUUUGCGCCGCCGUCGUCUCUUUGCCGGCUGUCAUUGCCCUCCCUACCCGCUAUGUUCAUCGCUGCUUUGGCUGUUGCUGUCCACGCGACGUCUCACCUCCACGUUCUGGCCUGAUGUGCUCCAAUCCUGCGUGCCGCACGGCUCAAUCCGAUCUUCCGCCUACUGGUUAACCUCCGUUGGCUGAUUUGCUAGAGAAUUCUGCACUCUACAUACACCUGUUCCGGAUUACAAGUCCCGUGGGCUCAAGUCAAAACUCCAUAUGUGCUCAUCGAUCACGCUGUGAAGUCUGCCGCUACUGCUCGCGUUGUCGGCUGCUGGUAUUUGCUGCAUCUCGCCCAAUAUUGUCGGAUUCAGCCACUCCCGCUCGUGAAUGCUCGUUGCUCGCCGGAUUUAGCCACUCCCGCUGGUCAACGCCCGCUGCUUGAUCCGCCAGUUGCUCCUUCCCGAUUGCUGCUUCGCCUGGUCGGGUGCUGCUGGUUCUGUUUCGAUCGAACCUGCUUUGAUUGGAUCGAGCGCUCACUUGGUUCCGCCCCUCUGGAUCGAUCUGGUCCUCAUUCGGCUGGCCUCCCGUCAGGAUCGAGCGCUCACCUGGGUCUGCGUCGCUGCCGCCGGCCCCGUCCGCGCCGCUGCUGCCUUCUGCGGCGCCACCGGUCGCUGGCCCCAUCUGCGCUGCUACUACCGGCCCUGUCCUCCGCGACGCUGUUGUCUUGCGCGGCUGCCUGCGGGGCACUCGCGUGGUUAUGUGAGUGGCUGCUGCCGUUUCUUGUCCGGGUGUCUACUGCUCCAGAUCAUGACUGUCUAAUCGAUUUGGUCCUGGUUCGAAUGGCUUUUUGUCUGAUUGAUCUGCUGCUGGUUCUGGCCGCUCUCACCUUGGCCAGUUGAGUCUUUGUGACAGAAAAGUUGCACUAUGUCUUUGGCAUCAUCUGGCUACGUUGCCAUCCCGCUCUGCCUAGUGAUAUUCGAUGGGGCUAACUUACUGAGUUCGUUGCCUUUAUGCGCAUUCACAUGCGUGGCAUUCGUCUGGGGUGUUCUUUCCGGUGAGGUCCCUGUCCUCCGUGCCCAGUGCCUCUUGUGGCUCCUACCCCACCGCCGAUGCCAUCGGCUAUUGACACAGAUGCUUCUGAUGUUGAUAGGGCUGCAGCCACAAUUGCUGCUGAUGAUGCAGCUGCCACUUAUGACCAGGAGGUCUUGGAUUAUUCAAAUGCUCUUUCUGUUUAUCGUGACAAUCUAGCUGCUUACACUCAGCGGUGUGAUGAUGAUGCUCGUGUUGCGACUGUUCUCACUCCCAGUGUUUUGCCUCAGUUUGCUUCUGAGUUUAUAGGCCUUAGUACUGUCUUUGAGAUGUGAACUCAUCUUCGUUAGCGCUAUCAGCCCUCUGGUGAUGCUCUCUACUUGUCUGUGGUCCGUCAGGAGCAUGCUCUUCAGCAGGGAGACUCCACUAUUGAUGAGUUCUACACUCAGAGUUCUGCUGUCUGGCGCCUGCUUGACUCCCUUCGCACUACUGUUUGUGGCACUUGCCAGACUGUGAGGUCACUGGCGACGAUUCUGAGUACAUUGCAUUUGUUAAGGCCUGUCUUAAUGAGUAGUUCCUUAUGUCUGAUCUUGGUCCUCUUCGUUACUUUCUUGGGAUUGAGGUUUCCUCCACCUCUGCUGGCUUUUUAUUUUCCAAGAAAAGUAUAUCUAGAGCCUUAUUACUCGUGCGGCUCUUAGUGAUGAGCGCACUGCUGAGACUCCUAUGGAGCUCAAUGUUCACCUUCGUGCUUCUGAUGGUGAGCCCUUGUCUGAUCCGACACGUUAUCGUCAUCUUGUUGGGAGUCUUGUGUAUCUUGCUGUCACUCGUUCGGAUAUCUCUUAUCCUGUCCAUAUUCUGAGUCAAUUUGUUUCUGCUCCCACUUCAGUUCACUAUAGUCACCUUCUUUGCGUUCUACGAUAUCUUCGUGGCACGCUCUCUCAUCGUCUCUUUUCCCCUCGUUCCAGCUCCAGGCCUAUUCGGAUGCUACGUGGGCUAGUGAUCCUACGGAUCGCCGUUCACUUUCUUUCUACUAUGUCUUUCUGGGUAGUUCCCUCAUUUCCUGGAAGACGAAGAAACAAAUUGCAGUUUCUCGUUCGAGUGCAAAGGCCGAGUUGCGAGCUAUGGCUCUUCUUACGGCUGAGAUGACUUGGUUACGAUGGUUACUGGAGGAUUUUGGUGUUUCUGUUACUACACCUACCACCCUCCUGUCAGACAACACAAGUGCUAUUAGUAUUGCGCGAGACGGCGUGAAGCAUGAGCUUACCAAACACAUUGGUGUUGAUGCUUCUUAUGUGCGCGCUGCUGUGCAGGAUCAUGUUGUUGCGCAACAUGGAUUUCACCCCUCCACACUCAGUGUUGUGGAUCCACCAUGAGUUUGAGGGGGGGUGUUAGGGUUAUAUUAAGUGAUGUCUUUUGGCCUUUUGCAUUCUAGUCUCUUGGCAUCCUCUUGUAGCAUUUUGGCAUCCUCAUGUAUGUGUAUAUAUGUUGGCAUUGGCCUCCUAAUAGUAUAUGUUGCAUAUUCCUAACACAGGUGACGGCGCGGCGGGUGGCGGGAGGCUGGGCGACGGCGGGAGAGGUCUGCCUUGGCUCCACGGAAGGGAAGGCGUGCCGUGGCUCUAUCUUCUAUCGACUUCUAAGGACUUGAGUAUCAAUAUCUCAAUAGGGAGGCUUGUUAUCACCGGUAUCGUCAAUAGCAUCUCAUCAGUUGGCUAAAUGGCCGAAGAUUUCUUCAACGGCAACAGGCCCAUGGUUACCAAGGAUGGGAAAGACCUGACUUCUGCACUCGAGGUGUUCGUGAACUGGUGUAUCACAGAGGUGCAAAACAAGAUCCAGAGAAGUUUUCAUCCGUCUUCGAGUAACAGGCCCCUCAAGAAGGUAGUGGUUACUAUUCAGAGUUUGCUGGCUACGCGCCCGGAUCCUGUUCUGAUUGGGUCACUUUUUGCUGGUUCAACGGAGGAGCUGGAGGUGUUAAUCAAGAUAUUAUCAGUUCAGCUGGACAUGGUGCUGUUUUAUACCAUGGGAGCAGCUGGGGAUAUGUACUUCGUCUGGCGGGAUCUCCCCAUCGAUCCCAAGCUCUUUCGCGAGAAUAUGCAUCAAAGUUUGGAUAGGGCUCGACAAUCGGCUCAGAAUAUCAAGGGGGCUGUGGAUCUUAUGACCAGGAUUGAGUCUUUUCUUGUUGCAGCACCAGGUAAUAUACGUCGCUUUUUGUCUUUUCGCCACUUUGUCCCAUCGGCCGAGUAAGGCAGGUAUGUGCUACAGACUUAGUAUCCCAAUUUUUCAUUCAGCCUAUCUGUAAGUAGAAAUAGAGAAAUUACUAAAAACCCCAUAAAGUGUGUUGCUUCAGCCUUCUCACUUCACAAGUUAUUGCUGGAGUAGAAUAUCUUCGGCAUCCACCUCAGAAAGCAGCUCCUUCACAAGUCGUUCAUUCCAGGAUUUUGUAUAUACCAAAAAGCAAUAGCUUCGACACUUUGUUUAUAGAAAUAUCCCUUUUUUAUAUAUCUCCAAAGGAUGCCUGCAGCCACUUUGAGGGAGCAAGUUAUUCUUCCAAAUAUACACCUUAUCACAGCUAACUACCCUGCAGUUCAGGCCCCCCUUCAUAAGAAUACUAUUGCCCUCUAGAAUGUUAGGCCAUGUUAGCGAACCAUUCCUUGGAGCUUUUGGAGCCUUAGGACCUAGCACAUAUUGAAUCUGGACAGAGUAGCAACCUCCAACUUUUUGACGUGCUAAAAGGGCUUGAUUUAAAAGUGCCAUGUCCUGAAAACCCACUCUGCCCCAUUUCUUUGCAAAACACAACCUCUCUCAGCUUAUCCAAUGCACCUUCCUCUGUGGAUCUUCCAACCAUGGUUGGCAAGCCAAGAUAUUUCUCAUUGACGACUUCGUUCUCAAUGCCACAAGAAUUCUUCAGAGCACCUUUGCCUUUUCUGGCACUCCAGAGCCAAAAUAAAUUGAUGGUUUUGGGAGAUUAACUUUCUAGCUACGUUGUGGUACAUAUUCUUGCACUAAGCCUAACCUGCCAGGACCUGUAGCAAAACUAUCUUGUCUGUCUACUACGGUUAACAAGAUCAUCUCACCAAUCUCCAAUAAUUCCUUUGGUGCUUACCCCAAGUUUUUAUCUCACCUAAUAAGCCAAAAUGCAAAGGUGCUCACAUGCAUGUCUAAUCUAUGCUAAAGCGCACACAACUAUUGCUUCCCUGCAAACAUCAGCACAUAGGGUUUUUCUCUUGAUGAAAAACCAAGCAGCCAUCAGACAAGAUACACAGCAUACCUAAGCUCGAGCUUAUGAAAUCUGCUGUCUGAAACUUGUUAAAACAUUUUUACGCAACGACAUUUUGUAUGGUAAUUUGGAAUACUUUCCCUAGAUCUCUACGUUCAUUUUGUUUGACAAAUAUUUUGACCACGGAGCCCACUAUUAAAUGAGAACAAUCUAUUAGAUUCAUGUAACUUUAGUAGUAAUCUAGUAGAUGAACUUGUGCGGAACCUGCUGUACGUUUAGUAAAAUGGUCUGGGUAAUGUCCUCUUUCAAUGAUUCAUGCAUGUGUGUGUCAAAUAAUUGUAGUUUGUGCUAUCAAAGAGGCCAUGCUCAAUUUGUAUUGGAUUUAUGGAAUAUUUUUUUGUGAAAAAGGAAGACUUGAAAGGAGAGUAUACAUGCUAAAUUUAUCACAUGUUUCUGAAAUAUUCUUUAGAUUUGAAUGAUUUUGUGAAAUUAGAAUUUUAUCAUGUUUAAAUUAUUGAAAUUAGUCACUGUAUAUAUUCCGGUUGGGGUUUAUUAAUAUAUACUUUGGUUAAUUGUUCUUUUUGUAUAUGCAUAUGUUUGCUCACAGUUGACCUUUUUUUUACAUUAGCAGGCAUGUUGAGGGGAGCGUGGACCAAACUGUUGCAUCCAUUCAGUGGCAAAUCGCUUAUCAUUUUCGAUGUUAGUUAUUGCAAGUUCAGUAACUUCAAUAUGACUUGUGAUGACUGAGGCGAGCGAAACUGGGAAAUUGUUCGCUUAUCUUCUUUCUACGUCGUGACAUGUGAUGAUUAAAACUGCUAAAUUAUAAUUACUCGGUUGUGUUAUAUGAUGAUUAAAACUGAUAGAUCAUAACUAUAUGAUGCAAUGCAUUUCCUCUCUAUUAUAUAAAUAAUUAUUGUUAGAUGCAUGGUUAAUGUUUAUGCAUGUUUUAGUUGUGCAAUUAUUGGGUUACUAAGGUACAACCUGCACUUUUGGUGUUAUUAUUGUUAUCUUGUGAUGUUAAUAUGUGUGGCUUGCUAGGAUUUGUCCUUGUUGCUUAGUGGAUUGUACAUAGUCGUACAUAGUCUAGUGUGUAUACAGGAUGUAUUUAAAAAAACUGGUACCAUGCUAAAACAUGAUCGCCAAAAUAAUGAAUCAUUUGUAUUUGGAACUGUUUGCAUACAUCUUUAGAAAGUAGGAUGUUGUCCAGUUUAUGGGCGAGUUUCUUAUAGUGAAUGAUAAUAAUGACUGCUGUGUUGUUCUCGCACAGUGUUGGAUUUGAAAAUAAUGGAUCAACUUUCACAUUCUAUAUUUAGUUUCCAUGUGGACAAAGAAGAAAUAUAUAAAAUUUAUGUCGCCUUUGUUGCAUACUUCUAAAUUUGUAUCUUCAUUUAGUAAAAAGGAUGGUGAUAGUUUAGUACUCGGUUCUCUUUGUACUCCCGGAUAAAUGAAUUAUACCAUGUACAACAGAGUACUAUGAAGUUUCUUAGUAAAAUGAAUCAAGUGUUCUGUAAGCACCAGUGCUUAUAUCUAUGGCGGGGGUGCCUAAUUAGACAUAUGCCUUUCACAAAUAAGCACUAAUGUUCAAGUGAAAACUGGUCUAUUUUAUGAGCACCACGAGAAGCAACUUGCAUUGUAUGCUAUCUUAUAAAAGAUAAGAAAGAGAUGGUAAUGUAUUUUAGGCUUAGGAGUCAUAAUCUUAUCAGGGUGCGCAUUGACCAUAGUGUAGUUUGGAAAGUCAGUUUGCUUGUCCAUCCUUUUUGCAUUGCGACAUAUGAUGAUUAAAACUACUAGAGUAUAAUUACUUUGAAUUUGGUACAUAUAUAGAUAUAUGCCUUAGUGUUAAUGUUAUUUUAGUUGUAAGAUGGUUGUGCUACCAAGUUAGGCCUGGUGAUGUGAUGCUGACUUGUGUGCUGUUUUUUUAUGUAAGGUGUUUUUCAAUGUUUUACUAAUAGCAUGAAGUGGAUGAUCAUCGAAAUAUGAAUCGUUAGUGUUAAAAGUUAGUUGCAUGGUUCUGUAGUAUGUACAAUGUUGCCUAAUCUAUUAGCAAGUUGCAUGCGGUGAAAUGAAUAUGAUGACUAGUUGGUCCUGUUUCAUAUACCUCUGAACUUUUUUUAGUUCUACAAACGAACUAGUUUUCAGAAAGUGAUGCGAUUUAAAUAAAUAAUACAUUUGAUUCAACUAAAGAGGAUUGGAGGGUACCCCGAGGGUAUCACCAAUUUGAACCCCUACAACUAGAUGGUAAAGUUAGUAUCACAAGUCAUAUUUUUUUUUUGGGAACGCAACAAGUCAUAAUCUUAGCACAGUGCGCAUUGAUCUUAGAGUGUACUUCCGUAAGUCGUUUGCUUAUCCUUUAUUGUGUUGCAAUAUAUGAUGAUUAAAUUUGCUAGACGACAAUUACUUAAUAUAUUUAGUAACUAUGAGUGUUUGCCGUUAGAUGUAUGGCUUGAUGUUAAUGUUGUUUUAGUUGUGAGAUGGUUGGCCUACUAAGCUAUGUCGUUAUUAUUAUCCUGUGAUGUUAACUCGUGUGAUUAUGUGGUUUUGCCUUGUUGCUUGGUUUGGUCUACAUAUACUACGUAUGAGGGCAUGGUUGUGUGGUUUUGCCUUGUUAAUUGUUUUAUUGUACAUAGACUACAUAUGAGAGAGUGCUUUCAAAAUUUUACUAGUAUCAUGCAGUAGUUAGAUACCAACGAAUAAAUUGUUAGUAUUAAAAGUUGUUUGCAUUGAUCCAUAGGAUUAGCAUGUUGUUUAAUUUCUUUUGAGGUGUCUAUAGUGAAAUGAACAUGAUGACUAUUUUGUUAUGCCGGUAGAGAAUAUUAAAUUUAAAAAUAAUAGGUCAAUUUGUAGAUUCUUUAUUUAGUUCUAUGGGGAUAGAGACAAAAAAUGGCGCUCAGUAGAUAUUUCUAAAUUUGCAUCCUAAUCUAGUAAAUUUUGUGAUAGUUCACUAUUGGGUUCAUUUUGCGUUACACUGUCAUAUGACAUGCAUGCUUAAGAAAAAACAACAAAGGGAUGCAUAUGUUCAAGUGUAUAUGUGGAUUGUCUAGCCCUUUCCACCAGUUUGGACUAUUGGUUGCGUUGGCUAGUUAUGAAGAUUAACAUGAUAUUAGAGCCCAAGGUCUUGAGUUCAAGUCCUGGCUUUCAUAAUUUAUUCAAAAAUUGCUGCUGCUUGUCUUUGUGAUUACGUAUAUCUUAAGCCAUACCUUCGAGUCGAUUCACGUGUUCACUUACUGCGUUACACGUGAGAGGGGGUGUUGAAGUGUAUAUGUGGAUUGUCUAGCCUUUUUCAUCAGUUUGUACUUUUGGUUGCUUUGUGUAGUGCAUGAAGCUUAAUAGCACGAUACUAUCAUAGUGCACAUUGACCGAAGAGUGUCGAUUUAUUUCUUUGUGCUUGUUGUCUACUAUAUAUUUUAUGUUGGUUUUUAUCAUGAUUGGGAAGUCUCAUGUUAUUGAUGCCUUGUUGUUUUUCCAGGAAAAAAAAGGAAUGCAAUAUUCAAUUACUUUACUGUGUUUUGGAGAUAUAAUUUAAGUUAUUUGAGGAUUGGAGAUAUAAUCUAAGUAACCUGAGGAGGAAGAUUACAGUUUACAGGAACAAUGACAUGAUGUAUCAGGCAAGUUUUUUUGUGAGAGAGUUCCCAAAUGUUUGAUAAGCUUGUAAUGCUCCAUGGUUUUUAUUAUCUAAUGAAGUUAGAUUUGUGUAGACUUGCGUGGUUAUGCCAUCAUUACUUGGUUAUUCGUACAUAAAAUAUGUAUGAGUGAGGUGUUUUCAAAAUUUAAUAAAAUUUAUUAUAAUGUUUUUUAAAUGAUUCAUUAUUUUUAAAAGAAUACAGUUUACGAGAAUAUUAACAUGAUGUAUCAGACAAUUUUUUUAUGAGAGUUCCCAAAUGUUUGAUAAGCUUGUGAUGCUCCAUGUUUAUUAUUAUCUAAUGAAGUUAGAUCUGUAUGGACAUGUGUGGUUAGGCCAUCAUUGCUUGGUUAUCCGUACAUGAAAUAUCUAUGAGUGAGAUGUUUCCAAAAUUUAAUACAAUUUUACUGUAAUGUUUUUUAAAUAAUUCAUUAUUUUUAAAGACAACUGUAGUGAAUGAAAUGAAUAUAAUGACUAUUUAUUUUACUUAUGUUAAAUAUUAAUAACAGUUGAAUUUUAUACUGUUUAUUUAGUUCAAUAAUGAUAGGUUUUUUAAACAUUUAUAAAUUUGAAAUAUUUAUUCACUAUGGUAGUAAACUAUUUUGUUCAUUUUGCGUUGUACGACUAGAUGAAAUUCAUGCUUAAGAAAUAUAUAUAGGAAGCCAUAUAAUACUAUCAUAGGGUGCACUAGCCAAAAAGUGUGAUUUUAUCUGUUUUAUGGUUAUUUUGUUUUCUUAAUCAUGAUUAUGGUAUGUCUAUAUAAUGAUGCCUUUUGUUUCUCCAGGAAACACAAUGAAUGUUCACUUAUUCAACUACUUUACAGUGUUUGCGAGACAUAACUUAAGUUAUGUGAGGAGGAAUGACCUUAUUGUUUUGUUAAUUAUAUUUAUAUUAUGUAUGAGUGGGGUGUUUUUUUUUGUUACUAAAAUCAGGAUAUAGUUAAUUUUAAAAAAUGAGUUGUUAUUAUUAAAAAUGUUUUCAGUGAGUGUCUAUUGGCAAGAUGACUGUAGUCAAUGGAAUGAAUAUGACGACUCUUUGUUCUAAUUGUGAUAGAUUUAUAAAUGAUAGUUUAACUCUAUUAGAUUCUCUAUUUAGUCCAAUGAUGUCAGUUUUAGACAUUCCUAAAUUUGCAUGUUUAUUUUGUCAUAAUUUUUGUACUGCACUAUUGGGUUCAUUUUUGCGUUAUAGCACCAAUGAAAUGCAUGUUAACUAUUAGGUGCACUUAAUCAUUUGAUGUGCCUUGUUCUAUAGGAUAUUUAUUUUGCAAUAUUCAAUUACUUAGUUAGUGUUGAAAGGCAUAGCAUAAGUUAUGUGAGGAGGAAGAGUAGAGUACAACAUGUAAGGGAGCAGUGACAUUAUCAGAUUUUUUUUUCCUGUUGAGAGUCACCAAGACAUCUGAUAAGGCCUGUGGUGCUCUAUGGUUGACAUUAUCAGUAGCAGCCUAACAAUCUGGAUGGUAACACUGGUUUGGUGUGGGGAUUGCGCAACAAAUGAUAUCAAAUCCAGGUACUAGUAUUUGUAUUGUUAAUUUGAAGGUCAAUAAUGUGCUUUUUUGUUGUUGGACAAUAAGCAUUUUUAUUCAUACAUAAAACUAAAUUGUGGGCUUGUCUUAGUUGCCAAUGGAUGUUUAUGUUUCAGGAAUAAUUCAAUUAAGUGUAGGAGAUGAGAACGCGGAGGACCAGCUUCAUCAACUAUUGAAGCUGCUGCUGGUUUAAGGACUGAGAUGCUUAUGUCCACUGAAUUAAUCCUUGUAUUCAGUGAAGAAGAGGGGACGUCGUAGGACUGCUGCUGCUGGUUUAUUGACAUUAGGUAGCUGCUGCGACGCACCGCCAGAGUUGUUGUGUGUGCAUGUGUGCUUGUGUUGAGCCAGUUAUAAAAUAUAGUUGGGGAUCACAGAUCAUAUGAAAUGGAUUUUUACUGAAGGUAUUGGAAUUUAUGAAUUCAUAUGGAUUGAAUGCCAUUUUCUUAGAAUUGAAUUGAUUGAAAUAGGUGAUCAUUUAUUAUGCCACAACGUUGGAUCCUUGUCAGCAAAGUAUAUCAUUCCAGUCGUCUGCCAUUGAGAUUCACACCUUGUCUCAUGCAGUAGAC
RNAcentral lists this long non-coding RNA (12174 nucleotides) under Triticum aestivum (bread wheat). RNAcentral describes it as "long non-coding RNA (TAES_LNC026587)". Lineage: Eukaryota; Viridiplantae; Streptophyta; Magnoliopsida; Poales; Poaceae. The record is from RNAcentral.